This 195-nucleotide unclassified non-coding RNA is filed under the name uncultured Rozellomycota. RNAcentral's name for it is "uncultured Cryptomycota sequence contains ITS2". The record is from RNAcentral. Lineage: Eukaryota; Fungi; Rozellomycota.
AACCGAUCAACACCUGUGGGGGUUGGCACUGGCGUUCCGUGCAGCAAUGUGCGGUCUGCUUGAAUGAAUUCAGGUUGAUGGGCUCCAGCUAGCUAAGCUCCAAAUGUGCUAAGAGACUGUGGUCUUUCGUCAUUUGGGUGUGCAGUUGCAUGCAAAGCUCUACUCAACAACCUCUAAAAAAUCAAUCAAUAUCAA